AGCCCAACUCUAGCCCAAUUACCUAAGCCUAAGCUUAAAGAAAAAACCCACUCUCCUACAAACUAAAACAUUCUACUCUCUUAGUAUAGGCGAUAGAAAAGACUCACCAGGCGCCAUAGAGAUAUCUGUACCGCAAGGGAAAGAUGAAAUAGUAAUGAAAACCCAAGCAAUAGACAGCAAAGAUAAACCCUUGUACCUCUUGCAUCAUGGUUUAGCAAGAACACCCAAGCAAAAAGAAUUUAAGCUUGCCUCCCCGAAACCCAAGCGAGCUACUUGCAAGCAGCUAAUUAUGAGCAAACCCGUCUCUGUGUCAGAAGAGUGGGAUGACUUGCCAGUAGAGGUGAAAAGCCAAUCGAGCAGGGUGAUAGCUGGUUGCCUGUGAAAUGAAUCUAAGUUCUCCCUUGAUUUUUUCCCCCUGGACGCCAGUCUAACCUCAAUGUAAAAAUCAAGUGGUAUUUAAAGGAGGUACAGCUCCUUUAAAAAGAAUACAACCUCCACCAGCGGAUAAAUCAUGCCCCUACACACCCUGUAGGCCCUAAAGCAGCCACCAACAAAGAGUGCGUCAAAGCUCCACUUUUCAAAAAUUAGUACACAACAUGACUCCCCCCUCACUAACAGGCCAAUCUAUAAAAAUAGAAGGAUUAAUGCUAGAAUGAGUAACUAGGAGAAGCCCCCUCUAGGCGCAAGCUUACAUUAUCACAUUAUUAACAGGCCAACUAAUACCUAAACCUAAACAAGCCCCAAUAUUUCCACCACUGUUAACCCAACCCAGGAGCGCCAAUUAGAAAGAUUUAAAUCUGUAAAAGGAACUAGGCAAACCCGAGGCCCGACUGUUUACCAAAAACAUAGCCUUCAGCCAACCAAGUAUUGAAGGUGAUGCCUGCCCAGUGACAUAAUGUUUAACGGCCGCGGUAUACUAACCGUGCGAAGGUAGCGCAAUCAAUUGUCCCAUAAAUCGAGACCUGUAUGAACGGCUAAACGAGGUCCCAACUGUCUCUUACAGAUAAUCAGUGAAAUUGAUCUCCCUGUGCAAAAGCAGGAAUACACACAUAAGACGAGAAGACCCUGUGGAACUUAAAAAUCAACAGCCACCCAACACAGUCUCAACCUACUAGGCCCAACAACACUGCACCCUGGCUAAUAUUUUUCGGUUGGGGCGACCUUGGAGAAAAACAAACCCUCCAAAACUAAGACCUAACAUCUUAACCAAGAGUAACACCUCAACGUACAAACAGUAACCCGACCCAAUAUAAUUGACCAAUGAACCAAGCUACCCCAGGGAUAACAGCGCAAUCUCCCUUAAGAGCCCAUAUCGACAGGGAGGUUUACGACCUCGAUGUUGGAUCAGGACAUCCUAACGGUGCAGCCGCUGUUAAGGGUUCGUUUGUUCAACGAUUAACAGUCCUACGUGAUCUGAGUUCAGACCGGAGCAAUCCAGGUCGGUUUCUAUCUAUGACAAGCCCUUCCUAGUACGAAAGGACCGGAAGAGCGAGGCCCAUGCUAUAAGUAAGCCUCCCCCAAAGUAAUGAACCCAACUUAAUUACCAACAAGGCUACCCAUCUUAAUAACUCCUAAAAAAGGACCG
RNAcentral lists this ribosomal RNA (1585 nucleotides) under Baryphthengus martii. Its description in RNAcentral is "16S ribosomal RNA". It matches the Rfam family "Bacterial large subunit ribosomal RNA". The record is from RNAcentral. Lineage: Eukaryota; Metazoa; Chordata; Aves; Coraciiformes; Momotidae.